GUGGGGAAUUUUGGACAAUGGGCGCAAGCCUGAUCCAGCAAUGCCGCGUGCAGGAAGAAGGCCUUCGGGUUGUAAACUGCUUUUGUACGGAACGAAACGGUCCGGGUUAAUACCCUGGGCUAAUGACGGUACCGUAAGAAUAAGCACCGGCUAACUACGUGCCAGCAGCCGCGGUAAUACGUAGGGUGCAAGCGUUAAUCGGAAUUACUGGGCGUAAAGCGUGCGCAGGCGGUUUUGUAAGACAGGCGUGAAAUCCCCGGGCUCAACCUGGGAAUUGCGAUUGUGACUGCAGUGCUGGAGUGCGGCAGAGGGGGAUGGAAUUCCGCGUGUAGCAGUGAAAUGCGUAGAUAUGCGGAGGAACACCGAUGGCGAAGGCAAUCCCCUGGGCCUGCACUGACGCUCAUGCACGAAAGCGUGGGGAGCAAACAGGAUUAGAAACCCGGGUAGUCC
This 450-nucleotide ribosomal RNA is filed under the name uncultured bacterium. RNAcentral's name for it is "partial 16S ribosomal RNA". It matches the Rfam family "Bacterial small subunit ribosomal RNA", at positions 354 to 796 of the family's 1533-position model. The record is from RNAcentral.